Molecule: small nucleolar RNA, 165 nt
Filed under: Oryza sativa (Asian cultivated rice)
Lineage: Eukaryota; Viridiplantae; Streptophyta; Magnoliopsida; Poales; Poaceae
Description: Z164 small nucleolar RNA
Source: RNAcentral
UCGUGCCGAUGAUGAGAGAACCUCAUUGAAUUGACGAGCCGUCCAACAGGUCCAUGGAUCUCUUGAAUUUCUUCACUUUGUUUGAGGCAUCUCCGAAAAAGUGCAGCCUAGGAAACAUUCAAGUGUUCUCUUAUCAGUGACGGAAACAAAAAUCUGAUUUUCCAG